CCUACGGGCGGCAGCAGUAGGGAAUUUUGCGCAAUGGGGGAAACCCUGACGCAGCAACGCCGCGUGAUUGAUGACGCCCUUCGGGGUGUAAAGAUCUGUCAGUGGGGACGAAACUUGACGGUACCCACAGAUGAAGCAUCGGCUAACUCCGUGCCAGCAGCCGCGGUAAUACGGAGGAGGCAAGCGUUUUCCGGAAUCAUUGGGCUUAAAGAGUUCGUAGGUGGCACGGUAAGUCUGGUGUGAAAGGCUGAGGCUCAACCUCUAUUCGGCAAUGGAUACUGGCGAGCUUGAGUACGGUAGAGGUAAGGGGAAUUCAUGGUGUAGCGGUGAAAUGCGUAGAUAUAAGGAAGAACAGCGGUGGCGAAGGCGGUUGACUGGACUGAAAUUGACACUGAGGAACGAAAGCGAGGGUAGCAAACAGGAUUAGAUACCCGUGUAGUC
RNAcentral lists this ribosomal RNA (441 nucleotides) under uncultured bacterium. Its description in RNAcentral is "partial 16S ribosomal RNA". It matches the Rfam family "Bacterial small subunit ribosomal RNA", at positions 338 to 795 of the family's 1533-position model. The record is from RNAcentral.